RNAcentral lists this ribosomal RNA (467 nucleotides) under uncultured bacterium. Its description in RNAcentral is "bacterial SSU rRNA". It matches the Rfam family "Bacterial small subunit ribosomal RNA", at positions 64 to 518 of the family's 1533-position model. The record is from RNAcentral.
GUACAAAGUUGGAUUGGAUUCCACUUAGUGGCGAGACGGGUGAGUAACACGUAAGUAACCUACCUCAAAAGACUGGGGAUAAACGUUUGGAAACGAACGCUAAUACCGGAUAAUUCAUUACUAGAUAACUAGAAAUGCUAAAAGAAGGUUUUCUUCACUUUGAGAUGGGCUUGCGGCGUAUUAACUAGUUGGUGGGGUAAUGGGCCUACCAAGGUGACGAUGCGUAGCCGGGCUGAGAGGCUAAUCGGCCACAUUGGGACUGAGACACGGCCCAAACUCCUACGGGAGGCAGCAGUUAGGAAUAUUCGUCAAUGGGGGAAACCCUGAACGAGCAAUGCCGCGUGAGUGAUGACAGUCUUAUAGAUUGUAAAACUCUGUUGUAAAGGAAGAACCCUUACUAUAGGAAAUGAUAGUAAGUUGACGGUACUUUACCAGAAAGCCCCGGCUAACUACGUGCCAGCCGCCGC